CUCGUUGUUUCCUAGACCUAGCACCGCCGCCGCCAUCCAUGCAUCCGCACUCGCUUCCUAUACGAGCAUUCCAAAACAUCGCUGCCCACCUUCACGCGAUGCCCGUGUCCCGCCUCCGAUGCCCGCCCGCCUCUCUCGCCUUCGCUUCCACCAUCGCCUCGCUCGUCUUCGUCUCUGCCCAAACAACAUUGACACAUCUGCCCCACGCGCGAUGCACACGCCCCGCCUCCGAUGCCCACCUCCACAACCGACGCCCGGACGACGAGGACGCGGCGGCACAGGACGACGAGUUGGUUGGCGACUUAGCAGAUCUGGCGCCCG
This 321-nucleotide unclassified non-coding RNA is filed under the name Zea mays. Its description in RNAcentral is "misc RNA Zm00001eb311080". Lineage: Eukaryota; Viridiplantae; Streptophyta; Magnoliopsida; Poales; Poaceae. The record is from RNAcentral.